RNAcentral lists this non-coding RNA (217 nucleotides) under Lachnospiraceae bacterium. Its description in RNAcentral is "T-box sequence". It matches the Rfam family "T-box leader". From Rfam's summary of the family: Uncharged tRNA acts as the effector for transcription antitermination of genes in the T-box leader family. T-boxes are found upstream of many aminoacyl-tRNA synthetase genes and some amino acid biosynthetic genes usually in Gram-positive bacteria. The anticodon of a specific tRNA base pairs to a specifier sequence within the T-box motif, and the NCCA acceptor tail of the tRNA base pairs to a conserved bulge in the T-box antiterminator hairpin. The record is from RNAcentral. Lineage: Bacteria; Bacillati; Bacillota; Clostridia; Lachnospirales; Lachnospiraceae.
GGUUGGGCGAUGAAGAGGGAUAGUAGUUGCAGAUGAAGUUUUACAGAGAGAGGAUUCGUAGGCUGAGAGAUUCUUGUACGGAGCUGUGAUGAACCUGCCUUGGAGCCGCUGUAUGAAAGUACGGCGUGGCACUAGCGUUAAUGGUGGAGAAGAGAGAGGACUGCGUAAGAUAUUGCAGUUAACGAGGGUGGUACCGCCGAGGUUUUCGGUCCCUUUU